UUUGUUACAAAAAUUUAAAAUUACACGAUUUUCCUCUCAACUUUUCUUCAAAAACCCAUGCUUCUUUCUCAACUUCAAACUCCAAAAAUCAGCCUAGACUUCUUUAAAAUAUG
This is a long non-coding RNA of Ipomoea nil (Japanese morning glory), 113 nucleotides long. RefSeq lists it as uncharacterized. The record is from RefSeq and is a predicted model, not a curated record. NCBI's taxonomy places the organism in Eukaryota, Viridiplantae, Streptophyta, Magnoliopsida, Solanales, Convolvulaceae. The transcript has 3 exons.